RNAcentral lists this ribosomal RNA (468 nucleotides) under uncultured bacterium. Its description in RNAcentral is "partial 16S ribosomal RNA". It matches the Rfam family "Bacterial small subunit ribosomal RNA", at positions 28 to 507 of the family's 1533-position model. The record is from RNAcentral.
GACGAACGCUGGCGGCGUGCUUAACACAUGCAAGUCGAACGGAAAGGCCCUGCUUUUGUGGGGUGCUCGAGUGGCGAACGGGUGAGUAACACGUGAGUAACCUGCCCUUGACUUUGGGUUAACUUCAGGAAACUGGGGCUAAUACCGGAUAGGAGCUCCUGCUGCAUGGUGGGGGUUGGAAAGUUUCGGCGGUUGGGGAUGGACUCGCGGCUUAUCAGCUUGUUGGUGGGGUAGUGGCUUACCAAGGCUUUGACGGGUAGCCGGCCUGAGAGGGUGACCGGCCACAUUGGGACUGAGAUACGGCCCAGACUCCUACGGGAGGCAGCAGUGGGGAAUAUUGCACAAUGGGCGGAAGCCUGAUGCAGCAACGCCGCGUGCGGGAUGACGGCCUUCGGGUUGUAAACCGCUUUCGCCUGUGACGAGGCGUGAGUGACGGUAAUGGGUAAAGAAGCACCGGCUAACUACGUG